This 83-nucleotide transfer RNA is filed under the name Rhodoluna sp. RNAcentral's name for it is "tRNA-Leu". It matches the Rfam family "tRNA". From Rfam's summary of the family: Transfer RNA (tRNA) molecules are approximately 80 nucleotides in length. Their secondary structure includes four short double-helical elements and three loops (D, anti-codon, and T loops). Further hydrogen bonds mediate the characteristic L-shaped molecular structure. tRNAs have two regions of fundamental functional importance: the anti-codon, which is responsible for specific mRNA codon recognition, and the 3' end, to which the tRNAs corresponding amino acid is attached (by aminoacyl-tRNA synthetases). tRNAs cope with the degeneracy of the genetic code in two manners: having more than one tRNA (with a specific anti-codon) for a particular amino acid; and 'wobble' base-pairing, i.e. permitting non-standard base-pairing at the 3rd anti-codon position. RNAcentral also lists the same sequence under 1 other name. The record is from RNAcentral. Lineage: Bacteria; Bacillati; Actinomycetota; Actinomycetes; Micrococcales; Microbacteriaceae.
GUCCGGGUGGCGGAAUGGUAGACGCGCUAGCUUGAGGUGCUAGUCCUCUUCGGGGGGUGUGGGUUCAAGUCCCAUUUCGGACA